Molecule: long non-coding RNA, 486 nt
Organism: Cannabis sativa
Lineage: Eukaryota; Viridiplantae; Streptophyta; Magnoliopsida; Rosales; Cannabaceae
Exons: 3
Source: RefSeq, a predicted model, not a curated record
UCUUUCUCCAUCUGGGUUGUUACCCUGUUUUUUAUUUCUCUUAAAAUCGAAAUUGGGUUUUAGGGUUUUUUAGUUUAGUGUCAAAUAUAUAUGCUGAGCAAACCGCCGAUCAUGGCAAUCAAUCGGACGACAUCGAGUGCCUCUUUGUUCAAUUUUUGGCCUUUCUCAUUCACCUUCUGCUGCUGAUGGUAUCUACGUACUACUUUCUACUAUCAUCUCUGUAUCAUUCCAUGAAUUCGGCCAUGCUCUUGCGGCUGCCAGCGAAGGCGUUGAGAUGGAGUACAUUGCCAUCUUCAUAGCAUUCGUGUUUCCUGGUGCUUUGGUGGCUUUCAACCACAACUUGCCCCAAUCAUUGAUAGCGAUGGUCUGGUCAUUAUAAAUGGUGCAGCUAAGGAAAUACAAAGGGCUGCAGUAAUUGCAGUGACCAAAGUUAGAGGAAUGGAAGUGGCUGGUGCUGUUGAUUCUUAUCUAGUUGGAGAAGAUAUU